GACGGGGCCCGCACAAGCGGUGGAGCAUGUGGUUUAAUUCGAAGCAACGCGAAGAACCUUACCAGGUCUUGGCAUCCCCUGACAACCCGAGAGAUCGGGCGUUCCCCUUCGGGGGACAGGGUGACAGGUGGUGCAUGGUUGUCGUCAGCUCGUGUCGUGAGAUGUUGGGUUAAGUCCCGCAACGAGCGCAACCCUCGACCUUAGUUGCCAGCAUUCAGUUGGGCACUCUAAGGUGACUGCCGGCUAAAAGUCGGGGGAAGGUGGGAUGACGUCAAAUCAUCAUGCCCCUUAUGACCUGGGCUACACACGUGCUACAAUGGCCGGUACAGACGGACGCAAAGCCGCGAGGUGGAGCAAAUCCUAAAAGCAGGCCUCAGUUCAGACUGCAGUCUGCAACUCGACUGCAUGAAGCCGGAGUUGCUAGUAACCGCAGGUCAGCAAUACUGCGGUGAAUACGUUCCCGGGUCUU
Molecule: ribosomal RNA, 469 nt
Filed under: uncultured Anoxybacillus sp.
Lineage: Bacteria; Bacillati; Bacillota; Bacilli; Caryophanales; Anoxybacillaceae
Description: bacterial SSU rRNA
Rfam family: Bacterial small subunit ribosomal RNA
Source: RNAcentral